RNAcentral lists this ribosomal RNA (253 nucleotides) under uncultured bacterium. RNAcentral describes it as "partial 16S ribosomal RNA". It matches the Rfam family "Bacterial small subunit ribosomal RNA", at positions 524 to 776 of the family's 1533-position model. The record is from RNAcentral.
UACGUAGGGGGCGAGCGUUAUCCGGAUUCACUGGGUGUAAAGGGAGCGUAGACGGCCAUGCAAGCCAGGGGUGAAAGCCCGGGGCCCAACCCCGGGACUGCCCUUGGAACUGCAUGGCUGGAGUGCGGGAGAGGUAAGCGGAAUUCCUAGUGUAGCGGUGAAAUGCGUAGAUAUUAGGAGGAACACCAGUGGCGAAGGCGGCUUACUGGACUGUAACUGACGUUGAGGCUCGAAAGCGUGGGGAGCAAACAGG